RNAcentral lists this small RNA (28 nucleotides) under Bombyx mori (domestic silkworm). RNAcentral describes it as "ovarian small RNA-8295". The record is from RNAcentral. Lineage: Eukaryota; Metazoa; Arthropoda; Insecta; Lepidoptera; Bombycidae.
UGAUAUGAGUUCGCGUUUUGAUUACGAU